GUGUUUAAGGUAGUAAACUUGUGUUUAAGGUAGUAAACUGGUGUUUAAGGUAGUAAACUCGUGUUUAAGGUAGUAAACUCGUGUUUAAGGUAGGAAACUUGUGUCUAAGGUAGUAAACUCGUGUUUAAGGUAGUAAACUCGUGUUUAAGGUAGUAAACUCCCAAAGAACAUCUUCAUACACCGUAAACUCUUAUCCAAGGUUAUUUAGAGUCCCAAACACUUCCUAAGGCAUGGAAUCAACCCUAGAACCUUCCCGUGUGCAUUGUAUCACCAUUUGGCAUCCAAGAACCCACCAUCCAUGACUUUACGGCCGUAAACUCAUGGGAAUAUGGUCAAUGAACCAUGAACACCUCAAGGAGUUUACUCUUGAAGAGUAAACUCCAUAUCUAGGCCCUACACAUCCAUAGAUGUCCCCCGGGUCACUCCGAACACUUGAAUUGAAGUGUUUUCACGCCUCAAAGUGUAUAAUCAUAUCUAAUUAGUGAUUUAAAGUCUAAUUAGAUACAUUUGUAUCUCAUUUCAUAUUUCAUAGGAACCUCGCGCGUUAUCAUGCCCCGAUCCGACACUUAGCAUCCUAGACGACACGUUCUUCGACUGGUGAGUUCAUACCCCUACCCUUUUUCCGUGUUUUCAAUGUUUUCAGGGGGGGAAUACAAGCAAACUAUAAAUGUUUUCAAAACCUAAAACUGAUGUGCUUCUAUAAAUAUCUGGCUAACUUUUAGAUAUCUUUACCCCUUUAUGUAUUAAGCUGAGCAUAAAGGAUGUUUUAUUGAUUAUAACUACAUGUAUUUCAGUAAAGGAAACAAUCCAAUCAAUCAAAUUAUUAUGGGAAUAAUUUGGGAUCUUUAGUUCUUAUUUAACGAGCACAGAUUUAUGUAAAGCUUUUAGAUAAACUAUGUCUGAUUCAGUUUAUCUCUGUUUAACUUAGAAUAUAUUGCCAGAUAAUUGUAUUGUAUUUAACUGUUUUCACUGUGUUAUGUUUCAAAACGAUUAGUAUGUUUGAUAACGUCUGAAAACACCGUGAAUCAUUAAAUACUAGCUUGUGAGAUUCGUCAUUACCCUUUGGGUUAUUAGUAAAUCCUCCUUGGAAGUGUAACCAGAGUCUCCAGGAGGGAGAGCGUGGAAUUUGAGAAUAGAUCUAUUCGGGACUG
This 1151-nucleotide long non-coding RNA is filed under the name Lactuca sativa (garden lettuce). RNAcentral describes it as "long non-coding RNA (LSAT_LNC003947)". Lineage: Eukaryota; Viridiplantae; Streptophyta; Magnoliopsida; Asterales; Asteraceae. The record is from RNAcentral.